RNAcentral lists this ribosomal RNA (406 nucleotides) under uncultured bacterium. Its description in RNAcentral is "bacterial SSU rRNA". It matches the Rfam family "Bacterial small subunit ribosomal RNA", at positions 976 to 1381 of the family's 1533-position model. The record is from RNAcentral.
UACACUUGACAUACAGAGAACUUACCAGAGAUGGUUUGGUGCCUUCGGGAACUCUGAUACAGGUGCUGCAUGGCUGUCGUCAGCUCGUGUUGUGAGAUGUUGGGUUAAGUCCCGCAACGAGCGCAACCCUUGCCCUUAGUUGCCAGCACGUAAUGGUGGGAACUCUAAGGGGACUGCCCGUGUCAAGCGGGAGGAAGGUGGGGAUGACGUCAAGUCCUCAUGGCCUUUAUAUCCAGGGCUACACACGUGCUACAAUGGCGGAUACAAUGAGCAGCAAACUUGCGAAAGUUAGCGAAUCUCAAAAAGUCCGUCUCAGUUCGGAUCGCAGUCUGCAACUCGGCUGCGUGAAGUUGGAAUCGCUAGUAAUCGUGGAUCAGCGUGCCACGGUGAAUACGUUCCCGGGCCU